GAUGAACGCUGGCGGCGUGCUUAACACAUGCCAGUCGAACGGAAAGGCUCCUGCUUGCAGGGGUACUCGAGUGGCGAACGGGUGAGUAACACGUGGGUGAUCUGCCCUGCACUUCGGGAUAAGCCUGGGAAACUGGGUCUAAUACCGGAUAGGACCACAUUUUGGAUGGUGUGGUGGAAAGUUUUUCGGUGUGGGAUGAGCUCGCGGCCUAUCAGCUUGUUGGUGGGGUAAUGGCCUACCAAGGCGUCGACGGGUAGCCGGCCUGAGAGGGUGUACGGCCACAUUGGGACUGAGAUACGGCCCAGACUCCUACGGGAGGCAGCAGUGGGGAAUAUUGCACAAUGGGCGCAAGCCUGAUGCAGCGACGCCGCGUGGGGGAUGACGGCCUUCGGGUUGUAAACUCCUUUCGCUAGGGACGAAGCGCAGGUGACGGUACCUGGAGAAGAAGCACCGGCUAACUACGUG
This 465-nucleotide ribosomal RNA is filed under the name uncultured bacterium. RNAcentral's name for it is "partial 16S ribosomal RNA". It matches the Rfam family "Bacterial small subunit ribosomal RNA", at positions 28 to 507 of the family's 1533-position model. The record is from RNAcentral.